ACCUGCGGAAGAUCAUUAACGAGUAACUGAACAGGUUGUAGCUGGCCUCUAGGGGCAUGUGCACGCCUGGCUCAUCCACUCUUCAACCUCUGUGCACCUGUUGUAGGUCGGUGGAAGGGCAAAGUAGUAAGUGAAGUCUCAGGACUUUGCUUACUCUCUGCUUGGAAACCUUCCUAUGUUUCAUUACAAACGCUUCAGUUUAAGAAUGUAAUCUCUGCGUAUAACGCAUCUAUAUACAACUUUCAGCAACGGAUCUCUUGGCUCUCGCAUCGAUGAAGAACGCAGCGAAAUGCGAUAAGUAAUGUGAAUUGCAGAAUUCAGUGAAUCAUCGAAUCUUUGAACGCACCUUGCGCUCCCUGGUAUUCCGGGGAGCAUGCCUGUUUGAGUGUCAUGGUAUCCUCAACCUUCAUAACUUUUUGUUAUCGAAGGCUUGGACUUGGAGGUCGUGCUGGCUCUUGUUAGUCGGCUCCUCUUAAAUGUAUUAGCGUGAGUGUAACAGAUCGCUUCGGUGUGAUAAUUAUCUGCGCCGUGGUCGUGAAGUAACAUAAGCUGACGCUUCUAACCGUCCUUCAGUUGGACAACAUUUAUAUGACAUCUGACCUCAAAUCAGGUAGGACUACCCGCUGAACUUAAGCAUAUCAAUAAGCGGAGGAAAAGAAACUAACAAGGAUUCCCCUAGUAACUGCGAGUGAAGCGGGAAAAGCUCAAAUUUGAAAUCUGGUAGUCUUUGGCUGCCCGAGUUGUAAUCUGGAGAAGCGCUUUCCGCGCUGGACCGUGUACAAGUCUCCUGGAACGGAGCGUCAUAGAGGGUGAGAAUCCCGUCUUUGACACGGACUACCAGUGCUUUGUGAUGUGCUCUCAAAGAGUCGAGUUGUUUGGGAUGCAGCUCAAAUGGGUGGUAAACUCCAUCUAAAGCUAAUAUUGCGAGAGACCGAUAGCGACAGAC
RNAcentral lists this ribosomal RNA (946 nucleotides) under Phlebia subserialis. RNAcentral describes it as "eukaryotic LSU rRNA". The stretch from base 597 to 946 matches the Rfam family "Eukaryotic large subunit ribosomal RNA", at positions 1 to 348 of the family's 3401-position model. Lineage: Eukaryota; Fungi; Basidiomycota; Agaricomycetes; Polyporales; Meruliaceae. The record is from RNAcentral.